Molecule: ribosomal RNA, 460 nt
Filed under: uncultured bacterium
Lineage: Bacteria
Description: partial 16S ribosomal RNA
Rfam family: Bacterial small subunit ribosomal RNA
Source: RNAcentral
CCUACGGGUGGCAGCAGUGAGGAAUAUUGGUCAAUGGGCGAGAGCCUGAAGCAGCCAUGUCGCGUGAGGGAAGACGGUCCUAUGGAUUGUAAACCUCUUUUGUCGGGGAGCAAACAGGCCUCUUGAGGACCCCAGUGAGAGUACUCGAAGGAAAAACAUCGGCUAACUCCGUGCCAGCCACCACGGUAAUACGGAGGAUGCGAGCGUAAUUUGGAUUUAUUGGGUUUAAGGGGUGCGUAGGCGGACGGGAAAGUCAGCGGUAAAAUCGAGAGGCUCAACCUCUUUCCGCCGUUGAAACUGUCGGUCGAGAGUGGUGUAGAGGUAGGCAGAAUGCGUGGUGUAGCGGUGAAAUGCAUAGAUAUCACGAAGAACUCCGGUGGCGAAGGCAGCAUACCGGCGCCCGACUGACGCUGAGGCACGAAAGCGUGGGGAGCGAACAGGAUUAGAUACCCUGGUAGUC